RNAcentral lists this ribosomal RNA (492 nucleotides) under uncultured bacterium. RNAcentral's name for it is "partial 16S ribosomal RNA". It matches the Rfam family "Bacterial small subunit ribosomal RNA", at positions 36 to 507 of the family's 1533-position model. The record is from RNAcentral.
CGUUCCCUCUGGCGGUAGGCCUAACACAUGCAAGUCGAACGGCAGCACAGUAAGAGCUUGCUCUUACGGGUGGCGAGUGGCGGACGGGUGAGGAAUACACCGGAAUCUACUUUUUCGUGGGGGAUAACGUAGGGAAACUUACGCGAAUACCGCAUACGACCUACGUGUGAAAGCAGGGGAUCUUCUGACCUUGCGCGAUUGAAUGAGCCUAUGUCGGAUUAGCUAGUUGGCGGGUUAAAGGCCCAGCAAGGCGACGAUCCGUAGCUGGUAUGAGAGGAUGAUCAGCCACACUGGAGCUGAGAAACAGUAGAGACUCCUACGGGAGGACGCGGUGGAGAAUAUUGCACAAUGGGCGAAUGGCUGAUCCAGCCAUACCGCGUGGGUGAAGAAGGACUUAGGGUUGUAAAGCCAUUUUGUUGGGAAAGAAAAACAGCAGGUUAAUACCCCGCUGUUAUGACGGUACCCAAAGAAUAAGCACCGGCUAACUUCGUG